ACUGGAUGUACAUCAAAAAAGCUUAUAGUAUCAUAUUAGUAAGCCAUCAAAUAUGUAUUAUUUGGCUAUGUAUUGUGUAUUUGUAAGUAUCACAUUUUAGAAACAAUAUAUAUCGAUAUAUCUAGAGAUGUGUAUUGGAACAUUGGAUAAAUAUUUUACUAGGUGUGUAUCAACUAGUCAUAUACUGCAUAUGAAUGAACAUC
This 203-nucleotide long non-coding RNA is filed under the name Elaeis guineensis (African oil palm). RNAcentral describes it as "long non-coding RNA (EGUI_LNC006465)". The record is from RNAcentral. Lineage: Eukaryota; Viridiplantae; Streptophyta; Magnoliopsida; Arecales; Arecaceae.